AUUGAACGCUGGCGGCAGGCCUAACACAUGCAAGUCGAGCGGAUGAAGGGUGCUUGCUCCUGGAUUCAGCGGCGGACGGGUGAGUAAUGCCUAGGAAUCUGCCUGGUAGUGGGGGAUAACGUCCGGAAACGGGCGCUAAUACCGCAUACGUCCUGAGGGAGAAAGUGGGGGACCUUCGGACCUCACGCUAUCAGAUGAGCCUAGGUCGGAUUAGCUAGUUGGUGGGGUAAAGGCCUACCAAGGGGACGAUCCGUAACUGGACUGAGAGGAUGAUCAGUCACACUGGAACUGAGACACGGUCCAGACUCCUAAGGGAGGCAGCAGUGGGGAAUAUUGGACAGUGGGCGAAAGCCUGAUCCAGCCGUGCCGCGUGUGUGAAGAAGGUCUUCGGAUUGUAAAGCCCUUUAAGUUGGGAGGAAGGGCAGUAAGUUAAUACCUUGCUGUUUCGACGUUACCAACAGAAUAAGCACCGGCUAACUUCGUG
This 484-nucleotide ribosomal RNA is filed under the name uncultured bacterium. Its description in RNAcentral is "partial 16S ribosomal RNA". It matches the Rfam family "Bacterial small subunit ribosomal RNA", at positions 30 to 507 of the family's 1533-position model. The record is from RNAcentral.